RNAcentral lists this ribosomal RNA (253 nucleotides) under uncultured bacterium. RNAcentral's name for it is "partial 16S ribosomal RNA". It matches the Rfam family "Bacterial small subunit ribosomal RNA", at positions 524 to 776 of the family's 1533-position model. The record is from RNAcentral.
GACGAACUGCCCAAACGUUGUUCGGAAUCACUGGGCUUAAAGGGCGCGUAGGCGGCUUACCAAGUCAGGGGUGAAAUCCGGCAGCUUAACUGUCGAAGUGCCUUUGAUACUGGUGAGCUCGAGGGAGGUAGGGGUCCGUGGAACUUCCGGUGGAGCGGUGAAAUGCGUUGAUAUCGGAAGGAACGCCGGUGGCGAAAGCGACGGACUGGAUCUCUUCUGACGCUGAGGCGCGAAAGCUAGGGGAGCAAACGGG